RNAcentral lists this ribosomal RNA (1396 nucleotides) under uncultured bacterium. RNAcentral's name for it is "bacterial SSU rRNA". It matches the Rfam family "Bacterial small subunit ribosomal RNA". The record is from RNAcentral.
AGAGUUUGAUCCUGGCUCAGGAUGAACGCUAGCUACAGGCUUAACACAUGCAAGUCGAGGGGCAGCAUGGUCUUAGCUUGCUAAGGCCGAUGGCGACCGGCGCACGGGUGAGUAACACGUAUCCAACCUGCCGUCUACUCUUGGACAGCCUUCUGAAAGGAAGAUUAAUACAAGAUGGCAUCAUGAGUCCGCAUGUUCACAUGAUUAAAGGUAUUCCGGUAGACGAUGGGGAUGCGUUCCAUUAGAUAGUAGGCGGGGUAACGGCCCACCUAGUCUUCGAUGGAUAGGGGUUCUGAGAGGAAGGUCCCCCACAUUGGAACUGAGACACGGUCCAAACUCCUACGGGAGGCAGCAGUGAGGAAUAUUGGUCAAUGGGCGAGAGCCUGAACCAGCCAAGUAGCGUGAAGGAUGACUGCCCUAUGGGUUGUAAACUUCUUUUAUAAAGGAAUAAAGUCGGGUAUGGAUACCCGUUUGCAUGUACUUUAUGAAUAAGGAUCGGCUAACUCCGUGCCAGCAGCCGCGGUAAUACGGAGGAUCCGAGCGUUAUCCGGAUUUAUUGGGUUUAAAGGGAGCGUAGAUGGAUGUUUAAGUCAGUUGUGAAAGUUUGCGGCUCAACCGUAAAAUUGCAGUUGAUACUGGAUAUCUUGAGUGCAGUUGAGGCAGGCGGAAUUCGUGGUGUAGCGGUGAAAUGCUUAGAUAUCACGAAGAACUCCGAUUGCGAAGGCAGCCUGCUAAGCUGCAACUGACAUUGAGGCUCGAAAGUGUGGGUAUCAAACAGGAUUAGAUACCCUGGUAGUCCACACGGUAAACGAUGAAUACUCGCUGUUUGCGAUAUACGGCAAGCGGCCAAGCGAAAGCGUUAAGUAUUCCACCUGGGGAGUACGCCGGCAACGGUGAAACUCAAAGGAAUUGACGGGGGCCCGCACAAGCGGAGGAACAUGGUGGUUUAAUUCGAUGAUACGCGAGGAACCUUACCCGGGCUUAAAUUGCAAAUGAAUUUCCGGUGAAAACCGUAACCCGCAAGGAUUCUUUAAAGUGCUCCCAGGGUUGCGUCACCUCUGGCCCGGAGGGUGCGGCUUAAUGGCCUAACAAGGCGAACCCCUUGUUGUCAGUUACUAACAGGUUCUGCUGAGGACUCUGACAAGACUGCCAUCGUAAGAUGUGAGGAAGGUGGGGAUGACGUCAAAUCAGCACGGCCCUUACGUCCGGGGCUACACACGUGUUACAAUGGGGGGUACAGAGGGCCGCUACCACGCGAGUGGAUGCCAAUCCCAAAAACCUCUCUCAGUUCGGACUGGAGUCUGCAACCCGACUCCACGAAGCUGGAUUCGCUAGUAAUCGCGCAUCAGCCACGGCGCGGUGAAUACGUUCCCGGGCCUUGCACACACCGCCCGUC